This 253-nucleotide ribosomal RNA is filed under the name uncultured bacterium. Its description in RNAcentral is "partial 16S ribosomal RNA". It matches the Rfam family "Bacterial small subunit ribosomal RNA", at positions 524 to 776 of the family's 1533-position model. The record is from RNAcentral.
UACGUAGGGUGCAAGCGUUGUCCGGAUUUAUUGGGUUUAAAGGGUGCGUAGGCGGCCUUGUAAGUCAGUGGUGAAAUACUCCAGCUUAACUGGAGGGGUGCCAUUGAUACUGCAGGGCUUGAGUUAAGUUGAAGUUGGCGGAAUUGACGGUGUAGCGGUGAAAUGCUUAGAUAUGACAUAGAACACCAAUUGCGAAGGCAGCUGGCUACGCGAAUAUUGACACUGAUGCACGAAAGCGUGGGGAUCAAACAGG